RNAcentral lists this unclassified non-coding RNA (259 nucleotides) under Hevea brasiliensis (rubber tree). Lineage: Eukaryota; Viridiplantae; Streptophyta; Magnoliopsida; Malpighiales; Euphorbiaceae. The record is from RNAcentral.
GGAGGCUAGUCAUAUUACUAAGGGUGUCAAUCUAUUAAUAGCAACCCCUGGUCGACUUCUUGACCAUCUCCAGCAUACUAAAAAUUUUGUGUUUAAGAAUUUGAAGUGCCUCAUAAUUGAUGAAGCCGACAGGAUAUUGGAAACUAAUUUUGAGGAGGAAAUGAAACAAAUUAUAAAGCUCCUACCGAAGAAUAGGCAGACUGCUUUGUUCUCAGCAACCCAAACACAAAAGGUUGAAGAUCUUGUCCGCUUGUCGUUU